This 465-nucleotide ribosomal RNA is filed under the name uncultured Klebsiella sp. RNAcentral describes it as "bacterial SSU rRNA". It matches the Rfam family "Bacterial small subunit ribosomal RNA", at positions 338 to 795 of the family's 1533-position model. The record is from RNAcentral. Lineage: Bacteria; Pseudomonadati; Pseudomonadota; Gammaproteobacteria; Enterobacterales; Enterobacteriaceae.
CCUACGGGAGGCAGCAGUGGGGAAUAUUGCACAAUGGGCGCAAGCCUGAUGCAGCCAUGCCGCGUGUGUGAAGAAGGCCUUCGGGUUGUAAAGCACUUUCAGCGGGGAGGAAGGCGGUGAGGUUAAUAACCUCAUCGAUUGACGUUACCCGCAGAAGAAGCACCGGCUAACUCCGUGCCAGCAGCCGCGGUAAUACGGAGGGUGCAAGCGUUAAUCGGAAUUACUGGGCGUAAAGCGCACGCAGGCGGUCUGUCAAGUCGGAUGUGAAAUCCCCGGGCUCAACCUGGGAACUGCAUUCGAAACUGGCAGGCUAGAGUCGUGUAGAGGGGGGUAGAAUUCCAGGUGUAGCGGUGAAAUGCGUAGAGAUCUGGAGGAAUACCGGUGGCGAAGGCGGCCCCCUGGACAAAGACUGACGCUCAGGUGCGAAAGCGUGGGGAGCAAACAGGAUUAGAUACCCGGGUAGUC